Molecule: non-coding RNA, 28 nt
Filed under: Mus musculus (house mouse)
Lineage: Eukaryota; Metazoa; Chordata; Mammalia; Rodentia; Muridae
Source: RNAcentral
UAGAGCUAGACAGAUAGCAUGUAUUUCU